UACGAAGGGGGCGAGCGUUGUUCGGAUUUACUGGGCGUAAAGGGCGCGCAGGCGGCUCAUUUUGUCAGGCGUGAAAGCCCCGGGCUUAACCUGGGAACUGCGUUUGAUACGGAUGGGCUAGAGUUCGGGAGAGGAGAGUGGAAUUCCCAGUGUAGAGGUGAAAUUCGUAGAUAUCGGGAGGAACACCUGUGGCGAAAGCGGCGCACUGGACCACAACUGACGCUGAGGCGCGAAAGCUAGGGGAGCAAACAGG
RNAcentral lists this ribosomal RNA (253 nucleotides) under uncultured bacterium. RNAcentral describes it as "partial 16S ribosomal RNA". It matches the Rfam family "Bacterial small subunit ribosomal RNA", at positions 524 to 776 of the family's 1533-position model. The record is from RNAcentral.